This 29-nucleotide small RNA is filed under the name Bombyx mori (domestic silkworm). Its description in RNAcentral is "ovarian small RNA-32882". The record is from RNAcentral. Lineage: Eukaryota; Metazoa; Arthropoda; Insecta; Lepidoptera; Bombycidae.
UGAUGGUAACUCGGUCUCUAGCUCACUGC